CUGUGAGCCGAAUGGUUGUGAUUAAUUCAUACUUUCCUACGAACGUGAUGCCUUCUGAAUCACUGACACCUCGUGCAGCGAACUCUCUCUCUAGGGUCCCUCGCUCUCCCUCUCUCUCCCUCGUCCACCCUGCAUGCGAUCAGUAGCACCAGGUCCCUCUCUCUCCCGUGAACCCACGAGCAGCAACACCCUGCCCCUCUCUCUCCCAUGAACCCUAAACUCUCACUCUCCCUGCACGCGAUUAGCAACCCUAAGCUUGGUGACUCGCUCUUUUUCAUCACGUGCUACUAUUGUAAUCAACCAUUAUCAGCAAGGCCCUAACAAUGUCAUGUGAUUCUACAAGUAAUCAAGGAUGUACAUCUUGACAAUACCCUAAAUGCAAUAUAGAUUGUGCUACGAAAGCCUCGGCAACCCCAAAUAACCCAAACAAGAUGUACUAUGAGUGUCUACUAUGUGGGCUCUUCCAAUAGUGUGAUGAAUAUGUUACAGCUAUACAAAAUGUCAAUUUAAGGCAUCGCAAUACACAACAGUGGAAUUCAAUGCAUGAUUUACAAGAAAGUAUCAUGGUCAAUCAAAAAACAAGUGUCGUUCAUGAUACGAUACUCGAUGCUAUAGGACGCUUGCAAUAAUUCUUACUCAGUGCCUUUGAGCGUUUACAACAAUUAUUGUAUUUCUUGUAUAUAAUAAAUUUGUGUUUGCUUGCA
Amborella trichopoda is the source of this 704-nucleotide long non-coding RNA. RefSeq lists it as uncharacterized. Lineage: Eukaryota; Viridiplantae; Streptophyta; Magnoliopsida; Amborellales; Amborellaceae. The record is from RefSeq and is a predicted model, not a curated record.